RNA transcript from Fragaria vesca subsp. vesca, 1403 nucleotides. RefSeq lists it as uncharacterized. The transcript has 7 exons. Lineage: Eukaryota; Viridiplantae; Streptophyta; Magnoliopsida; Rosales; Rosaceae. The record is from RefSeq and is a predicted model, not a curated record.
GGUUCUCGUCGCCUGAGUUCCGCCGCUGCAGAAAUGGAUUGCCGGUUCUCGUCUGUUGCUGCGUGUUCAAUGUCUUGGUGCAAUUUCAAAGCUUUUCUUUGAAAUCAGAAAGCUUUCUAUGUAGUGUGUUAUGCAAACGCAGGCCUGGCUUUGCAUCAGUUUCUGCGAAGCCGCAAACGAUGGUGUGCGUCAAAUUGGGAUUAGAGUGAUUAAUUUUUGUUCAUUUUCAUGAUUUAGGAGGUAGAGGUGAAUCUGCACGCGAAAGUCAAGUGCUUGUUUGAUAUAGACAUUGGUGGUGAAGCUCUAGGUCGGGUUGUGAUUGGCCUUUUUGGUGAGGUUGUUCCUGAAAGCACAGACGACGGUGAGGGCAGAGAGGCAGUGCUUGUUGUCGCUGUCGUCGGUCUCGAUUGGGAAUUGAAUUGAGUCGGAUUGUGAUUCCGAGGCCUGUGCACAGGGGAGAAAGGAUAUGGUCAUAAAAGAUGCUCUUUCCACUGCAUUAUUAAGGAUUUUAUGAUCCAAGGAGGGGAUUUCACUAACGGAGAUGGAACCGGAGGGAUCAGCAUCUACAGUUUCCAAAUUUAAAGAUCAGAACUUUGCUUUGAAGCAUGUCGGGCCUGGUGUAGUGAGCAUGGCCAACGCAGUCCCUGGUACUAAUGGGAGUCAGUUUUUAUCUGCACAGUAAAGAUGUUUGUCCAUUUAUGAACCGAGCAAACUAUUUUACGAUGAUAACUGAAAUGGUGCAAAUGAUAGUUCACUAGAUCAAGGUGAUGAAAACGACGACCUCAACCAUCAAGAGGGUGAUGGGAAUGUUAAGCAGCCAGACUGCAAGAAUGGUGAUGGGGAUGCUAAGGAGCCAGACUGCAACAAAGGUGACAGAACAUGUUAAGCUGCCAGAUUAGGAACAUCUGGUGCCCAAGGUGGUGUGAUCAGCAGCCUGAAGCUCUGCGACUCUCUCCUUCUCUAUGGUUCAUGUAUGAGAAGUAGCCAUGCCUUCCAUCGCCACAUCCAAAAGUGUAUAAAUGAAGCUUGUAGCGACCAGCAGAUAGAGAGCAGUGCAGUAUUGCUCUUACAGUCUUACAGACCUCAAGGAAAGAGAAAUAAGAACAAAAACUAGCACACAGAACCCCUCUGACAACCUAGCUGCAGUGAAUCCAGAGAAAAAGCCUGAGCUGACGAAAGUGGCAAUGAAUUAUGCCAUGCCUGAGGCCAGCUGAAUGCCCUAACUUAGCCAGAAGGUCCGUUAGAAAGUUAGCUUCUUGAUGAAUAUGGACGAAGGAAAUGGAGGUGAAAUCAGCAGCAAGUCGCUUGAUAUCAUGAAUGAUUGAUCUCAUGAGCCAAGGAAUAUUUCAGCAUCCAUUAAUACUAUCUAUGAGGAGUUUAAUUAGAGUCGCCUUCAAGUUGCA